UCCUUAAAAAAUUUGAGAUGAAUCACUUGUAAUUUAAUAAAUUUAUUUUUAUUUGCAAUAUCUUCGAAAUACAGAUAUGACAUGAGCAAAAUACAUUCAUUUAUACAAAAUAUGUCUAAAUCAACCAUACUGUAUAUCUUUUAAGUUAAUCUUUGCAAUUUAAAGCAUGUCGAUAACAUGAUAAAGGGAAAGUAAAGGAAGGUAAAAGGCCAAAAUGUGCAUUUUGCUUCCUAUUUUAUUGGAAUUAUUCAGUUAUUAGCGAGGCGACUGCAUUUAUUAUAUUUCUAUUGCAUUAAAUAAGUUAAGAUCAACUGUGUGUGUUAUUAGUAUUAAUCGUUUUGGCUUUUAAAAGGGAGAUAGUUACAAUAUGUGAGAGAUAUAUCUGGAUAUUUCAGAAGGAACAUUCACAUUGUACCUAUUUUUCUCCAUUGUGAAGCUAAAUAAAUCAGCUGCAGUUAUGAGGCAGGUUAGCAAUACAACCGGUUUACCGAAGAUUAUGCAUCUGCCCAUGCCUACAAUGGCGUGUGCCUGGGCAUUUCUUUACCAUUCAAAGUUUUGUUCAGCUUCGCAUCGAUGAUUUUGAUACUGAUAACCUUUCCAAGAACGAAAACCCAUUUUCACUUUCGUGACGAUUAUAAGUAAACCAAAAAUAAACCGACAUUCUUGCAAAGUGAAGAAAAAGAUGGAUAUGCUAAAUGCCUUUUUUCAAGAGGCAAACAUUUCUAAAGUACAUUCAAUGGUGAUGCACAAAACCUUUAUGAUUACUUGGUUUGAAGUACUCCUUCAUGAAAAAACGACGACCGUUAGCACUGAGCAGGAGCUUCGAUUCGUGUGAAUUUAACAAUUGUGUGAUAACUGACGAAAAAACAUUGUUUGGAAAAAAGUGACCAUUUGCCAGAAAAAUAUCCUUUUAAAAGAUCUGACGGGGGGGGGGGGGGGGGGGGCAAGUUUGGAUUUUUGCCGAGGAUGAAAACCCAUUUUAUUAUAAAGAAUUUGGUGGACAUUACAAAAAUGAUUUUUGGAAAGGUGCAUUUAAUUGGACAAUAACGUAUAACAGGAAUAAUACAGAUAUUUACCUACCUAAUGGAGAAAUAUGGUAAAGAAGAACCGAGGAAAAGCGUGAUUUCCUAAAAAUUGCAAAAAGCAAAACUAAGGAUGCUAUUAUAAUAACAUCUCGCUGCAAAUCAGACUCUAAAAGGGAACGGGUUAUCGAUAAAUUGAAGAAAUUUAUAAAUAUUGAUACUCUGGGCAGAUGUGGACGAGAAUGGAAGUGCGGAGCAAUGUAUGUGCACGAUGAUUGUUUCAACAUUCUAAAUUAUUCAUAUAAAUUUUAUCUAGCGUUUGAAAAUGCACUCUGUAGGGGAUAUUCCACUGAGAAGUUUUUUGAAAAUUUCAAUAACGAUAUAUUAUUAGUGUCUAGGGCUGGGAAAACAAAUUCUAGAGAAGCACUAUCGAUUCCUAAAAAUAUAUAUAUUGAUUCUACUGAUUUUCAGUCAAUUGAUUAUUUAGGAAGAUACCUUCAACGCCUGGCUUUAAAUGAUACAGAAUAUGCAAGGAUUCUAAGACGUAAAAGUCAAUAUUACUUCCCCGGGUUUCAGGAAGUAUAUCAAAGGGCGUUAUGUAAAAUUUGUGAAAGAAUGAAUCUACUUGAACACUAUCGACAACAAAUACCUGACCUUAACCAAUGGCGUAUGUCAGAUAAACCAUGCACAAAUUCAGAAGACAUAGAAAUAAUAUAAAAAUCGCCACCAAUAGAACGUACAAUGAAAUGCAAGCUUGCGUUAAACCUGAAUAAUGAAUAUUGCAGGACAUAAGAGGAUUGUUCAAUAAAUAACUACACUCUAUGUAAUUUUCCCAUUAUGAGUAAUUUAGUAUAAUAAUAACAGCAAUUUGCCCACUUGCAGGUGUUAUUAUUGCAGCAAAACGAGUGGUUCUUUAACAAGUACUAAAACGCGCUAUCGACAAAGUCAACGUGUUGACGCCUUAAAGGCAAAAACAAUCUUCCAUAUAAGUGACUCCCCCAAAAAUGCCAGACAUCGUUAUCCCAAAUAAAAAUGAUUCUGUCUGGUCCACUCUGAUAAUGGUCUAUAAACCUCUGUAGACUUGACAUGUAGUCAGAGGAUCAUGAAUUGUAUUGAUAUGUACUGAUAACUGGUUAUUACAUGUGUUCUGCAUUUUAUUGAUAAAAGUGCAGCUUUUUUCCAGAAUAUACACGAAAUUAUUUUAGUUGAUAAUAUACUAAUUGCAAUUGCUCAAUCACGUUGAGUAAUGUCCUGACCAAUUAAAUUAUAACUUGUACAGCAAAGCAAUUAUCACCAUUUUGGAAAACUCUCACCUUUAUUUAAUAAAAAUAAAAUAAUUACAGAAACAAUAAAUGAACAACAUGUUUGGCUGGAGACCUUUGUAGUGAGACACUAUGAAAUGUAUUAUGUAAACUGAGUUCUAAGAAAACUUUAUUAAUUGCAGAAAAUUCUGAUUAUAGUAUAAGAACUGUGAUUUGGGAAAAAAAAUAUUAUAGUUCCCCAUGUGUGGCCUAAAUACAUUUUCUUUUAUUUAUUAUAAAAUCUAGCAAUAAAAAGAUAUCAUUGUUCAAAAUGCACAUGAUUUAUUAUUUAUAAAAGGUGCCUGGAUGCGUUUUCUUUCAUUUCUAAUAAAAAUCCAGCAAUAAUGGGAUACUAUUGUGUAAAACUUGAUUUAUGAAAAAAUAAAAAUACUACUGUA
Molecule: long non-coding RNA, 2721 nt
Organism: Mercenaria mercenaria
Lineage: Eukaryota; Metazoa; Mollusca; Bivalvia; Venerida; Veneridae
Exons: 4
Source: RefSeq, a predicted model, not a curated record